RNAcentral lists this ribosomal RNA (863 nucleotides) under uncultured bacterium. Its description in RNAcentral is "bacterial SSU rRNA". It matches the Rfam family "Bacterial small subunit ribosomal RNA", at positions 9 to 873 of the family's 1533-position model. The record is from RNAcentral.
AAGUUUGAUCCUGGCUCAGAGUGAACGCUGGCGGUAGGCCUAACACAUGCAAGUCGAACGGCAGCACAGUAAGAGCUUGCUCUUACGGGUGGCGAGUGGCGGACGGGUGAGGAAUACAUCGGAAUCUACUUUUUCGUGGGGGAUAACGUAGGGAAACUUACGCUAAUACCGCAUACGACCUACGGGUGAAAGCAGGGGAUCUUCGGACCUUGCGCGAUUGAAUGAGCCGAUGUCGGAUUAGCUAGUUGGCGGGGUAAAGGCCCACCAAGGCGACGAUCCGUAGCUGGUCUGAGAGGAUGAUCAGCCACACUGGAACUGAGACACGGUCCAGACUCCUACGGGAGGCAGCAGUGGGGAAUAUUGGACAAUGGGCGCAAGCCUGAUCCAGCCAUACCGCGUGGGUGAAGAAGGCCUUCGGGUUGUAAAGCCCUUUUGUUGGGAAAGAAAUCCAGCUGGUUAAUACCCGGUUGGGAUGACGGUACCCAAAGAAUAAGCACCGGCUAACUUCGUGCCAGCAGCCGCGGUAAUACGAAGGGUGCAAGCGUUACUCGGAAUUACUGGGCGUAAAGCGUGCGUAGGUGGUCGUUUAAGUCUGUUGUGAAAGCCCUGGGCUCAACCUGGGAACUGCAGUGGAAACUGGACGACUAGAGUGUGUAGAGGGUAGCGGAAUUCCUGGUGUAGCAGUGAAAUGCGUAGAGAUCAGAGGAACAUCCAUGGCGAAGCAGCUACUGGACCACACUGACACUGAGCACGAAGCGUGGGGAGCAAACAGAUUAGAUACCCUGUAGUCACGCCCUAACGAUGCNAACUGAUGUGGGUGCAAUUUGCACGCAGNNUCGAAGCUAACGCGUAGUUCNCGGCUG